UACGUAGGGCGCAAGCGUUGUCCGGAAUUAUUGGGCGUAAAGAGCUCGUAGGCGGCCUGUCGCGUCUGCUGUGAAAUCCCGGGGCUCAACCCCGGGCGUGCAGUGGAUACGGGCUGGCUGGAGGCAGGCAGGGGAGAACGGAAUUCCUGGUGUAGCGGUGGAAUGCGCAGAUAUCAGGAGGAACACCGGUGGCGAAGGCGGGUCUCUGGGCAGUAACUGACGCUGAGGAGCGAAAGCGUGGGGAGCGAACAGG
Molecule: ribosomal RNA, 253 nt
Filed under: uncultured bacterium
Lineage: Bacteria
Description: partial 16S ribosomal RNA
Rfam family: Bacterial small subunit ribosomal RNA
Source: RNAcentral